AUUGAACGCUGGCGGCAGGCCUAACACAUGCAAGUCGAGCGGAUGAAGGGAGCUUGCUCCUGGCUUCAGCGGCGGACGGGUGUGUAAUGCCUAGGAAUCUGCCUGGUAGUGGGGGAUAACGUCCGGAAACGGGCGCUAAUACCGCAUACGUCCUGAGGGAGAAAGUGGGGGAUCUUCGGACCUCACGCUAUCAGAUGAGCCUAGGUCGGAUUAGCUAGUUGGUGGGGUAAACGCCUACCAAGGCGACGAUCCGUAACUGGUCUGAGAGGAUGAUCAGUCACACUGGAACUGAGACACGGUCCAGACUCCUACGGGAGGCAGCAGUGGGGAAUAUUGGACAAUGGGCGAAAGCCUGAUCCAGCCAUGCCGCGUGUGUGAAGAAGGUCUUCGGAUUGUAAAGCACCUUAGGUUGGGAGGAAGGGCAGUAAGUUAAUACCUUGCUGUUUUGACGGUACCAACAGAAUAAGCACCGGCUAACUACGUG
RNAcentral lists this ribosomal RNA (484 nucleotides) under uncultured bacterium. Its description in RNAcentral is "partial 16S ribosomal RNA". It matches the Rfam family "Bacterial small subunit ribosomal RNA", at positions 30 to 507 of the family's 1533-position model. The record is from RNAcentral.